GACGAACACUGGCGGCGUGCUUAACACAUGCAAGUCGAACGGAAAGGCCCUGCUUUUGUGGGGUGCUCGAGUGGCGAACGGGUGAGUAACACGUGAGUAACCUGCCCUUGACUUUGGGAUAACUUCAGGAAACUGGGGCUAAUACCGGAUAGGAGCUCCUGCUGCAUGGUGGGGGUUGGAAAGUUUCGGCGGUUGGGGAUGGGCUCGCGGCUUAUCAGCUUGUUGGUGGGGUAGUGGCUUACCAAGGCUUUGACGGGUAGCCAGCCUGAGAGGGUGACCGGCCACAUUGGGACUGAGAUACGGCCCAGACUCCUACGGGAGGCAGCAGUGGGGAAUAUUGCACAAUGGGCGGAAGCCUGAUGCAGCAACGCCGCGUGCGGGAUGACGGCCUUCGGGUUGUAAACCGCUUUCGCCUGUGACGAAGCGUGAGUGACGGUAAUGGGUAAAGAAGCACCGGCUAACUACGUG
This 468-nucleotide ribosomal RNA is filed under the name uncultured bacterium. RNAcentral's name for it is "partial 16S ribosomal RNA". It matches the Rfam family "Bacterial small subunit ribosomal RNA", at positions 28 to 507 of the family's 1533-position model. The record is from RNAcentral.